UAUCUCUGUAGAGUCUGCAUAUCAAUAAGCGGAGGAAAAGAAACUAACUAGGAUUCCCUUAGUAACGGCGAGUGAAGCGGGAAGAGCUCAAAUUUGAAAUCUUCAAGGUUUUACCUUGACGAAUUGUAGUUUAAAGAAGUGUUUUCUGUUGGUGUUUUGGUAAAAGUUCUUUGGAAUAGGACAUCAUAGAGGGUGAGAAUCCCGUAUUUGACCAUUACUUCCAGCUUUGUGAUACACUUUCAAAGAGUCGGAUUGUUUGGGAAUGCAGUCCAAAAUGGGUGGUAAAUUUCAUCUAAAGCUAAAUAUUGGCGAGAGACCGAUAGCGAACAAGUACCGUGAGGGAAAGAUGAAAAGAACUUUGAAAAGAGAGUUAAACAGUACGUGAAAUUGUCAAAAGGGAAGCGUUUGACACCAGUGUUGUUUUCUCGAAAAUCAAUUGAAAAAGGCAGGAUUUUGUGUUGUAUUGACUUUAUCAGCUUUCUGCACUCUUUUCUUGUCUUUUUUAGUGCACUUUUCGUUUAACAAGUCAACAUCAAUUUCUUUUGUUGUAAAAGGGUCAUUGGAAGGUGGCUUUCACUUUCGGUGAAAGUGUUUAUAGCCUUUGGCCUCUGCAAUCGGAGAGAUUGAGGUCUGCAGCGUAGAUCCUUCGGGGUUAGAUACAGUUAGAUGCUAAGUUAUAGCCUUUCUAUAGACAACUUGUUGACUAUAAUCAUCAAUGUAGCUUACUCGCUUAUGCUAUUUUACCUACGCUUAGGAUGUUGACGAUCAGCUGAGCGCG
This 778-nucleotide ribosomal RNA is filed under the name uncultured Neocallimastigales. RNAcentral's name for it is "partial large subunit ribosomal RNA". It matches the Rfam family "Eukaryotic large subunit ribosomal RNA", at positions 24 to 628 of the family's 3401-position model. The record is from RNAcentral. Lineage: Eukaryota; Fungi; Neocallimastigomycota; Neocallimastigomycetes; Neocallimastigales.